UUAAGCGACUAAGCGUACACGGUGGAUGCCCUGGCAGUCAGAGGCGAUGAAGGACGUGCUAAUCUGCGAUAAGCGUCGGUAAGGUGAUAUGAACCGUUAUAACCGGCGAUUUCCGAAUGGGGAAACCCAGUGUGAUUCGUCACACUAUCAUUAACUGAAUCCAUAGGUUAAUGAGGCGAACCGGGGGAACUGAAACAUCUAAGUACCCCGAGGAAAAGAAAUCAACCGAGAUUCCCCCAGUAGCGGCGAGCGAACGGGGAGCAGCCCAGAGCCUGAAUCAGUGUGUGUGUUAGUGGAAGCGUCUGGAAAGGCGCGCGAUACAGGGUGACAGCCCCGUACACAAAAAUGCACAUACUGUGAGCUCGAUGAGUAGGGCGGGACACGUGGUAUCCUGUCUGAAUAUGGGGGGACCAUCCUCCAAGGCUAAAUACUCCUGACUGACCGAUAGUGAACCAGUACCGUGAGGGAAAGGCGAAAAGAACCCCGGCGAGGGGAGUGAAAAAGAACCUGAAACCGUGUACGUACAAGCAGUGGGAGCCUCUUAAUGGGGUGACUGCGUACCUUUUGUAUAAUGGGUCAGCGACUUAUAUUCUGUAGCAAGGUUAACCGAAUAGGGGAGCCGAAGGGAAACCGAGUCUUAACUGGGCGUUAAGUUGCAGGGUAUAGACCCGAAACCCGGUGAUCUAGCCAUGGGCAGGUUGAAGGUUGGGUAACACUAACUGGAGGACCGAACCGACUAAUGUUGAAAAAUUAGCGGAUGACUUGUGGCUGGGGGUGAAAGGCCAAUCAAACCGGGAGAUAGCUGGUUCUCCCCGAAAGCUAUUUAGGUAGCGCCUCGUGAAUUCAUCUCCGGGGGUAGAGCACUGUUUCGGCAAGGGGGUCAUCCCGACUUACCAACCCGAUGCAAACUGCGAAUACCGGAGAAUGUUAUCACGGGAGACACACGGCGGGUGCUAACGUCCGUCGUGAAGAGGGAAACAACCCAGACCGCCAGCUAAGGUCCCAAAGUCAUGGUUAAGUGGGAAACGAUGUGGGAAGGCCCAGACAGCCAGGAUGUUGGCUUAGAAGCAGCCAUCAUUUAAAGAAAGCGUAAUAGCUCACUGGUCGAGUCGGCCUGCGCGGAAGAUGUAACGGGGCUAAACCAUGCACCGAAGCUGCGGCAGCGACACUAUGUGUUGUUGGGUAGGGGAGCGUUCUGUAAGCCUGUGAAGGUGUACUGUGAGGUAUGCUGGAGGUAUCAGAAGUGCGAAUGCUGACAUAAGUAACGAUAAAGCGGGUGAAAAGCCCGCUCGCCGGAAGACCAAGGGUUCCUGUCCAACGUUAAUCGGGGCAGGGUGAGUCGACCCCUAAGGCGAGGCCGAAAGGCGUAGUCGAUGGGAAACAGGUUAAUAUUCCUGUACUUGGUGUUACUGCGAAGGGGGGACGGAGAAGGCUAUGUUGGCCGGGCGACGGUUGUCCCGGUUUAAGCGUGUAGGCUGGUUUUCCAGGCAAAUCCGGAAAAUCAAGGCUGAGGCGUGAUGACGAGGCACUACGGUGCUGAAGCAACAAAUGCCCUGCUUCCAGGAAAAGCCUCUAAGCAUCAGGUAACAUCAAAUCGUACCCCAAACCGACACAGGUGGUCAGGUAGAGAAUACCAAGGCGCUUGAGAGAACUCGGGUGAAGGAACUAGGCAAAAUGGUGCCGUAACUUCGGGAGAAGGCACGCUGAUAUGUAGGUGAAGUCCCUUGCGGAUGGAGCUGAAAUCAGUCGAAGAUACCAGCUGGCUGCAACUGUUUAUUAAAAACACAGCACUGUGCAAACACGAAAGUGGACGUAUACGGUGUGACGCCUGCCCGGUGCCGGAAGGUUAAUUGAUGGGGUUAGCGGUAACGCGAAGCUCUUGAUCGAAGCCCGGUAAACGGCGGCCGUAACUAUAACGGUCCUAAGGUAGCGAAAUUCCUUGUCGGGUAAGUUCCGACCUGCACGAAUGGCGUAAUGAUGGCCAGGCUGUCUCCACCCGAGACUCAGUGAAAUUGAACUCGCUGUGAAGAUGCAGUGUACCCGCGGCAAGACGGAAAGACCCCGUGAACCUUUACUAUAGCUUGACACUGAACAUUGAGCCUUGAUGUGUAGGAUAGGUGGGAGGCUUUGAAGUGUGGACGCCAGUCUGCAUGGAGCCGACCUUGAAAUACCACCCUUUAAUGUUUGAUGUUCUAACGUUGGCCCCUAAUCGGGGUUGCGGACAGUGUCUGGUGGGUAGUUUGACUGGGGCGGUCUCCUCCUAAAGAGUAACGGAGGAGCACGAAGGUUGGCUAAUCCUGGUCGGACAUCAGGAGGUUAGUGCAAUGGCAUAAGCCAGCUUGACUGCGAGCGUGACGGCGCGAGCAGGUGCGAAAGCAGGUCAUAGUGAUCCGGUGGUUCUGAAUGGAAGGGCCAUCGCUCAACGGAUAAAAGGUACUCCGGGGAUAACAGGCUGAUACCGCCCAAGAGUUCAUAUCGACGGCGGUGUUUGGCACCUCGAUGUCGGCUCAUCACAUCCGGGGCUGAAGUAGGUCCCAAGGGUAUGGCUGUUCGCCAUUUAAAGUGGUACGCGAGCUGGGUUUAGAACGUCGUGAGACAGUUCGGUCCCUAUCUGCCGUGGGCGCUGGAGAACUGAGGGGCUGCUCCUAGUACGAGAGGACCGGAGUGGACGCAUCACUGGUGUUCGGGUUGUCAUGCCAAUGGCACUGCCCGGUAGCUAAAUGCGGAAGAGAUAAGUGCUGAAAGCAUCUAAGCACGAAACUUGCCCCGAGAUGAGUUCUCCCUGACUCCCUGAGAGUCCUGAAGGAACGUUGAAGACGACGACGUUGAUAGGCCGGGUGUGUAAGCGCAGCGAUGCGUUGAGCUAACCGGUACUAAUGAACCGUGAGGCUUAACCU
This 2897-nucleotide ribosomal RNA is filed under the name Escherichia coli. RNAcentral describes it as "23S ribosomal RNA". It matches the Rfam family "Bacterial large subunit ribosomal RNA". The record is from RNAcentral. Lineage: Bacteria; Pseudomonadati; Pseudomonadota; Gammaproteobacteria; Enterobacterales; Enterobacteriaceae.